This 439-nucleotide ribosomal RNA is filed under the name uncultured bacterium. RNAcentral's name for it is "partial 16S ribosomal RNA". It matches the Rfam family "Bacterial small subunit ribosomal RNA", at positions 339 to 795 of the family's 1533-position model. The record is from RNAcentral.
CUACGGGUGGCUGCAGUAGGGAAUCUUAGACAAUGGGGGAAACCCUGAUCUAGCCAUGCCGCGUGAGUGAUGAAGGCCUUAGGGUUGUAAAGCUCUUUCGCUGGGGAAGAUAAUGACGGUACCCAGUAAAGAAACCCCGGCUAACUCCGUGCCAGCAGCCGCGGUAAUACGGAGGGGGUUAGCGUUGUUCGGAAUUACUGGGCGUAAAGCGCGCGUAGGCGGGCUAUUAAGUCAGGGGUGAAAUCCCGGGGCUCAACCCCGGAACUGCCUUUGAUACUGGUAGUCUUGAGUUCGAGAGAGGUGAGUGGAAUUCCGAGUGUAGAGGUGAAAUUCGUAGAUAUUCGGAGGAACAUCAGUGGCGAAGGCGACUCACUGGCUCGAUACUGACGCUGAGGUGCGAAAGUGUGGGGAGCAAACAGGAUUAGAUACCCCCGUAGUC